CUUUGUUGCAGCCAUCUCAAAGUGCUGGAUGGGGAAGACGAAUACUACAAGUCUCUGUCCCCAGUGGCUGGUAUCCCUGAGAAUAUCGCAGCCCACCUUUUCUUUUUUUCUUCAUCCUCAAAGGGAAAUUCUUUUGCUCAACACUGAGUUGCACUUCCUGGCCCCAAAUCUGCCCAAGGUAAAAAGAGUCGAUAAUUUAUUGUUACUGAACAUGAAGGCUUCUUUGGAUGCACGGUCUGUGCUGAGCCUCGCUGAACCAUUCACAUUCCUAAAUAUCUUCUUCUGUCUUUAUUGUUCUCUCACAUCUGUUGUGCAGCCUGAGCUGGGCAGUCCCUCCUUUUCUCAUCCCAUGGGUCCCUGUGGGAUGCUGUGAACUCUUGCACCACAGUAAUGACAGUUCAUGUCCCCAGCAUCUAAGAAGGUAGCAAAGUCUUAAAGUAGGCCGAUCAUGCAGAUAAGCUGUCUUUGAUUUCCCACCAAGUCACCUUUCAAUCCAUGUAGAAUCCGCCCCUGUAGAGGUCUAGGAGUCCCCUUCCUGCUCCUGUCUCUACCCGCCUCCCCCACAGGGCUUUUCCACUCCUCCUGCCUCCCCUGGGGUCAGGGCUCCACUUCUGAGGGCCCCACAUCCUGGAGGAGUUCCCUGAGGUCUCCUAGCACAGAAUAAUUUUCUGUGUUUCAGCACAAAGGCCUAAAUCAGAUUCUUUCUACAAGGUAAAUGAACACCUCUCUUGCUAAUUGUUAUGCUGAAAAGCCUUCACUCUCAAUGAAGGCUUCAAUGCCAAGACACCUCCAUCACUCAAAUAGUGAAAAGGAAAGAAAACUUAGACCUGUCCAAGUCUGGGGCACAUCAUUUUGUAACUCCACUCACUGGUCAGCUGUCUCCACUUGGCUGGAGUGGCUGCGGGGGGAGGGAUCUUGUCCAUCUUUGUGGGCAUAGGAACCCAGCACAGUGUCUGGAAGAAUAGACACCAGUGCAUACAGAAUAGAUGGAGAGACUUCAUUUGGUCACACAAACAUAUCUGACAGAACAGUUACUUUCAAUUAUAUGGUAUAUGUGAUUGAUCAGUCUUACAUCAUAAGCUGUUCUUUUCACUCAAGGUUGAGCUAGUCCUAUUAUAAUGAUAUCAUAUGAUAUAUUCUAAUACUUAAUAUGAUUCAGUAUGACAUGCUUUUUUGACCUCCUCUAUGUGAAAUAAUAUAUAAGAUUGCUGUGUGAUUUUAAAAAAAAACAAAAACAAAAACGAAAAAAACCUAUAGGAUCCUUUCUCAGAAUAGAGGUUCUUAGCUCUAAAAUACUUAGCAGAUAGUAUGCAUUGGGGUAUCUAGAUUUUGAGGGGAAAAAAAGAAACCCUGAAAUAUAUAGAAAAAUUAUUAUCAGAGUUUUUAAAGAGAGGGUAUUAAUAAACAUUUUAUGAAGAGAAAUAGUGAAAUGCCUUUUAAAGAUCUCAGAAAUUAUAGUUUUAAAAGGAAAAGAAGUUAUAGUCAAUUUUUCUUUUUUUUUUUAAAGAGAGAGUGAGAGAGGAGAGAAAGAGAGAAAAAAAAUUUUAAUAUUUAUUUUUUAGUUAUCGGCGGAUACAACAUCUUUGUUUUGUAUGUGGUGCUGAGGAUCAAACCCAGGCCGCACGCAUGCCAGGUGAGCGCGCUACCACUUGAGCCACAUCCCCAGCCCUAUAGUCAAUUUUUCAAUAGCUAAAUUUUACAUUUAAAAGAUGAAUCUUGGAUUUUUUUUCAGCUCUUCACUCAAAAGGCAAUGUUUAUAAGAAACAAAACUACCUUUAUUUCAUUGUUUAAGAAAUAAUGCCUCAGGCAGGGUAAUAAAUGAAUGCUUUUAGAAAUUUCACUUUUAGCAUUGAUUAGUCUAUUUGUGGGGGGCACUGGGGAUUGAACUCAGGGCUCUUAACCACUGAGCCACAGCCCCAGGCUCCUCCCCUGCCCCUUCAUUUUUUUGUAUUUUAUUUAGAGAUAGGGUCUCACCAAGUUGCUUAGGGCCUCACUAAAUUGGUGAGGCUGACUUUGAACUUGCAAUCCUCCUGCCUCAGCCUCCCAAGCCACUGGGAUUAAGUGUGUACCACCAUACCUGGUGACUGAUUAGUCUACUUUCAAUUUGAUAAAAUUAGUUGUUUUUCAGAUGUUCAUAACUUUCCACUUGUCCGUGUACAAUGUAACUGUAAACCUGCUUGUUUCUAAUUAAAAUGUCUCUAUAGGGCUGGGGAUGUGGCUCAAGCGGUAGCGCGCUUGCCUGGCAUGCGUGCAGCCCAGGUUCAAUCCUCAGCACCACAUACGAAGAUGUUGUGUCCGCUGAUAACUAAAAAAUAAAAUAUUAAAAUUCUCUCUCUCUCUUAAAAAAAAGUAAGGUUUUAAAAAAAAUUAAAUAAAUAAAAUGUCUCUAUAAAUAAAGUUAAGAAGAAAGUAAUUAUAAGAAAAGAAAGUAAUUGUAAAAUCAUAAUUGAGAAGCUCUGUAAUAAUUAAGCAGUGAUACAGCUAUAAUUCCUGUGAGUAAUUUGGAAACAGUGGUCACUAUCGGCUGCAGCACAGAUAAGACAAGACUGUAGACAUUAUUCUUGGGUUAUUCAUAAUGCCACAAACUCAAAAAGCAAUUCCUUAUUCAAGUAGAUGAGAAUAAUACAUCCUGGAAGCUCAUAACUGUCUUACUAGAUUUAUCAAAGUAAUACACACAAAAAGCAAAGGAAAUAGUGGAAAGCAGUCUUCUCCACAUUCCUCACCAGAAGCCACCAUUUUAAAAAUCAUUUCUAAUUCUAAUUUUUCUAAUGGUUUCCACCAUAUCUCUAAAUGCAGUUAUGUGCCAUGUAAUGACAUUUUGGUCAACAAUGAACUGUGCACACCCCUGUGGAACAAUAGGCUAUACCAUAGCGCCUGGGUGUGCAGUAGGCUAGACCAUCUAGGUUUGUAUAAACACACUCAAUGACAUUCACACAACAAAAUCAACUUAUGACACAUUUCUAAGAAUAUAUCCCAUUGUUAAAUGACAUGCAACUGUAAUUUGCUUCUACUUGCUUGUUUCAUCAUUUAAAUAACAUUAAUUCUCCCUCUAUGAAUAAUAUAGAUUUUUAUUUCAGCUCCCCACCUUAUUUCCCCCAGUAUUAAUAAUUUUAAAUUGUUUUUGACUUUGACCUUGUAAACUUUAACUAUAUAAUUAAAAUUUACUUUUCUGAACUGUCAACUUUCAAUGGUAUCUCUGUGAGGAUACCAAACAUGAAGAAAGUCAGCAGGCUGCAAGACCACGUCAGGUCACAAAAAUAAUUCUGGACAUAGAACAUUUUUUAAAAGCUUCACUACAGACCCUUUGCUGCUCAGUUCUGAGCCACUCUUUUGUCCGUUUGGCUCAUCUGUAGAUACACUUCCAUCCAAGUUUCUUUUAAAAUAUAAUAAAUAUACCAAAAAAAGGGUGGGGGGCACAAAUCCUAAGAUUUGGCUCCAUGAAUUAUUACAGAGUGAGCAUCUGUGUAACAGCCCCUCCAGUCUAGAAUAGACCACUCUGAGCACGCUAGAAGUCUCCCUGCUGAUUUUUCCCAAACAUUAUUCCCACACCUCCCUCAAGGCAACCAUUCUCCUGGCUUUAAGUGUAAACACUUCCUUGAUUUUCACAUGUACAUGCUGCUCUAAACACUAUUUAGGUUUUGCCUCUUAUGUUAGGUUUUCUGGACUUUAGACAAAUGAAAUCAUGCAGUGAGAGAUUUUGUUAGUUCUUCUUUCUUUCAUUCCACGUACUAUUGGUGAAGUUCAUCUAUGUUGUGAAAUGUAAACGUAUGGACUCACUCAUUUUCUUGACUAUGUAGUGUUCUAGGCUAUGAAUAUGAAAAUUGAUUUAGCUAUUCUGCUUUUUUAAAUAAUUUUACCUCUUUUUCUUUGGUUUUUAAUGCAGAUCUCUGCAGUACAGCAUAAUUUUUCUUUUUCUUUAUUUUUAUUUUGUUCUCUUUUUAAUUAGCUAUUCUGCUUUUAAUAAGGAAUUGGAUCCAAUUUGGGGCUAUUUUGGAAAUUACUUCCAUAAGCAUUAUGUUUGUCUCUUAGUAUUGGCAUGGUUUUCUGUUGGCUAUAUACGUGGAAUUAGAAUUGCAGAAUAUAAGGUAUAUGUUUCCCUACUUCAGUAGAUAAUGUCAAACUGUGUUCCAAAGUAACCCCACCAAUGUAUAAUCCCACCAGUUCUGUAAGAGUCCAAUCACUGAUCCACAUUCUCCCCAAUUCUUGCUAUGACAAGUCCUUUUUAUCAAAGCACUCCGAUGAGUAUUUAGUCAAAUCUCACUGAUUCUAAAUUACAUAUCCCUCAUUAAGGGUGAUAUUGAGGGCAUUUCAUGGCCAGUUCAGAUUACUUCUUUUGUCACAUGUCUAUUUUUAAUUGGAUUGACAAUUUUUUUCUUUUAAUUAGAAGCAAGUAUUUUAUAUUCUCAGUUAUGCAUAUUGAAAAUAUUGUCUCUAUUAGAUAGACUGCCCUUUCAGUUUCUAUAAAAGUGUCUUGAUUUAAAAAAAAAGUGUGUGUGAUUUUAAAAUAAUGUAAUUUAUCAAUCAUCUCCUUUUUGAUUAGUGCUUUUUUUUAUGGCUAGUUAAGAAAUCUUACUCUACCCCAACAUCACAAAGAUAUUUUCCAUUUCCAGAAGAUCCUAAAGGAAAAUAUCUUUGGGAUCUUCAACUUACCCAGACUGGUUUUGUGAAUGGUGUGCAGUAAGGGUCAAUUUUCAUAUUUUUUUAUAUUCAACUAUUCAGCCCCAUUUAAUGAGAUUAAUGUGAUUCUAUUCUACUGUUCUAAAAUUCCAUCAUUAUAUAAAUCAAGUGUUCAUUCUCAAUUCUCUAUUUAAUUCUGUUCUCAAUUCUCCAUUUUAUUCCACUGAUUUCUUUUUUUAUCCUUGACUUAAUUGCUAUGCCCUUGUAAUAUAAGCCUCAGAAUAUGGCACAGCAAGUGCCCCAUCAUUUUUGUUUUUGUUUUCUUCUCUAAGAAAGAGAUUUUAAAUAUUAUAGAAUCAAAUAAUGAAAAAAAAAAGCUGUUGGAAUUUCUUUGGUAUUAUCUUUCCAGUAAUGCCUGGAAAGUCCAUGAAUGUGGUAUAUCCUUCCAUUUGUUUACUCCUUCUCUUCUCCCAAAAAUGAUUUAUAAAUUGAAGAGAUUCUGUUAGUUUCAUUCCAUGUACCACAUGUAACUUGAUGUUAUUUAAAAUGCUUUUUAAAGACUUUUAUUUUCUCUUUUUUGCUGUUAAUAUGGAAAUGCAAUUGAUAUUUUCCAUUUGAGAUCCAGCAAUUUUGCUAAAUUAAUUAAUUAAUUAAUUCAAAUAAUAUAUCCAUAGAUAAUGUUAGAUUUAUAUAUAUACAAUUAUGCCGUAUUCAAUAACUACGGAUUUUUUCUUCCUUUCCAAUCUUUAUACCUGUUUCUUCUCCUUCUCCUUCUCCUUCUCCUUCUCCUUCUCCUUCUUCUUCUUCUACUGGGGAUCUAACUCAGGGCCUUGUGUAUACAAGGCAAGCACUCUACCAACUGAGCUACAUCCCCAGACUAUACCUGUUUCUUCUUGACUUACUGCCUGUAUCAGUUAGCUAUUGUUGCUGGGUUGGAUGAAUAUUUCUGCUAAUUUUAGCUAAUAUAGCCAAGGCUCACUUUUGUGUCUGCAAUUAGGUCAGCUCUGCUGCUUUGCUGACUCUAGCUGAUUCCUCUCAUGCCUGGGGCCACAGCAGAGAUAACUUAGCUAACUUGAUUCUAUUCUACUUGGUCUUAUCCUCCAACUUGCUCUUUUCCCCCAUGAAUAUAAUUUGUCUUUUUCCCUAGCUUUCAAGGUUUUGUUUUUAGUAGUUUGACUACACUGUCGAUCUCUCUUGUGUGUUUUCAUUCCCUUAGCAGAAUCUCCUCAAGAAAAGGGGUGGGGUGGAGAGGGAGAGAAGAGUUGUCUCUUGAGGAUCAGAGCUGAUACAUUGUCAAUUCUAGUACAUUCUUUAUUUAAUUUUUUAAUUUUUUUUAGAUGUUGAUGGGCCUUCUAUAUUUGACUGAUUUAUUUUUAUGUGGUGUUGAGAAUGCCUGACACCUUCUAGUCAAGUGCUCUACCACUGAGCCACAACCCCAGCCCUCUAGUACAUUCUUUAACCAAAGCAAAUCACAAAGCCAGCCCAGAUUCAAGAGGUGGACAAAUAGAAGUCAUCUGUUGAGGGGAGGAAAUGCAAAGUGCAGGAAUACAGGGAAAGACACAGCAUUAGGACCAUCAUUGUAAUCAAUCUUCCACACUUACCUGGGUCUGAUUUCUAGUACACUGUUGAUUAGAAAGUCUAAUAGUACACACUUUUGUCUUUUUCCCAGUCUAAAAGGAAAAAUUUUCAGUAUUGUAUUAAUAAUUAUGAUAUUUGUUUUUGUUUCUGAUUCUUAAGAGGGUUUUCUCCUUAAGAGUCAUUGAAUUUAUGAAAUAUUGUUCUCUAUAUUUUCAAAUAAUCCUAUUAUUUUCUCAUUUAUUUUGUUAAUGUGGUGAGUACAUUAAACUAACCUUGCAUUCUUGCAAUAAAUCCAACUUUUUCAUGUUUUAUUAUCCCUUUAUAUAUCAUUGGAGUUAAUUUGUUAGUUUAAAAAAUAAAUAUCUAUGCUCAUGAUGAGAUUAACAUAUAAAUUUAUUUAAUCUCUUAUUCCAACUCAUAUCCCAAUUUGUCUUUUGCUGGAAGAGUUUUUAUAAAAGUGACAUUAAUUCUUUCUUAGAUAUUUUUAAUUACUUGGGGAGUGAUAUGUGACUUCUUUUUUUUAAAAGGGAAUGUUUUAAUUGUGAUUAAUAAAUAACAAUAAGUUAAGAUUCAAUGUUCAGAUUUCAUCUUAAUAAGAUUUCAUGUUUACUAUUUCUUCCUCUAUUUGUUUUGAUAGGCUUAUUUUUUCUAGAAAUGUUUCCAUUUCUUCUACAUUUUCAAGUUUGGUUAGAACCAUUUGAAAUAUCUCUUAUGAUAUUUUAUAACAUUGUAUAGUAAUAUACCCUUUUUAAUUUGUGAUGCUGAUUAUCUCUUAUCUUUUUGUUGUUCAGGUCUACCUUAAAUAUCUACAGCCAGAAAACAAACUCAGUAUGAUUUUAAGCAUUUCAAAUUUGUUGAGAUGACAUAGCAAAUCAUAUAAUAAAUUUUGUAAAUAUUCCAUACAUAGUUUAAAAAUAAUUGUAUUCUUCAGUCUUCUAUAAUAUGCAGUAGUCAAGUUUAUUGUCAUCUCUAUGCUUACUAGUUUUUGAUUGCUUUUUCUAUCAAUCUCUUAUUAAGAGAAGCAUUUUGUUGUUGUUUGUAUUUUUUGUGGUCCUGAGGAUCAAACCCAGGGUUUCACACAGGCUAAAUAGGUGCUUCACUGCGAAGCUAAAUCCCUAGCCCAAGAGAGGUUGUUUAAAUUUCUAAUUACCAUUUUCAUUGUUCCUCAUUGCUUCUUUUCUUCCUACAUCUCUGACCUCCUUUUCUGGGUUCUGUUUUCUUUUGCCUACACAGUGCUCUUUAGUGUUUCCUUUAGCAUGGGUAUACUGCUCUAAGUUUUUGUUUAAUGAAAAUAUCUUUAUUCAACCUUAAUUCUUGAAAGAUAUUUUUGAUUGGUUCAGAAUUCUAUAUUGGCAGUUAUUUAUCUUAAAAGUCAAAGUUAUUACUUCAUUAUCUACUGGUUCUCAUUAUUUCUGUUGGAAGAUGAGUUGUAAGUCAACUUGUUAUGUCUUUGAAUAUAAUUUGUCUUUUCCCCUGGCUUUUAAGGUUUUGUUUUUAGUAGUUUGACUACACUGUGGUUCUCUCUCGUGUCUUUUCAUUCCCUUGGUUAUUUAUUUAUUGCAUGUGGCAAUUAUAUCUGCAAAAUUAUUUGUAAAAAAAAAAACAAUUGGAGGCCCAGGAUAACGUCCUUUUCUCCAUAAAACAGUUAUAUAUACCAGGGGCAUAAGUAAGUGGGACCAUUUUCAUCCAGUGUCAGAGCUGGUGAUGGGUUGAAAUUGGCCUGCAAGGGCUGGGGCUGGGGCUCAGUGGUAGAGCACUUGCCUAGCAUAUGUGAGGUACUGGGUUCAAUUCUCAGCACCACAUACAUACAUACAUACAUGCAUGCAUACAUAAUAUUGUGUCCAUCUACAGCUAAAAAAUAUAAGGAAGGAAGGCAGGAAUGGAGGAAGGAAGGGAGGGAGGGAGGAAGGGAGGAAGGGAGGAAGGAAGGAAGGAAGGAAGGAAGGAAAUUGCAGUGCCUGUUAAGGCAGUCUGUGUUUGGUUCACUUUCUCUCAGAGAGCAGCACUUCAUGAUCCCUAGUCAGGGUGUGUGUGUGUGUGUGUGUGUGUGUGUUAAGAGACAGGUGUGUAAAACUCUCAAUAUUUGUUCCCUCAGCCCCACAUGUCUCAGCCUCACAGCUUCUCAAUGACCUCUUAGUUUUGGCUGGAUGAAAAGUUGUUGCAAAUGCUAAAUUCUCCUCUCUGAAUUCAGUCCUCCUCUUUGACCUUGGUCUCACGUGUUUCUUUACUCUCUCAUAGCUCUCCAGUGCCUUCAAUCAGGCAAGUUUAAUUUUUAUCCUAAUUUCCUAUUUUAGCAUAAAGGGUGGGCAGUUUGUAUUACCCGAAGCAAUUAUCUUCUUCCAUCAUAUUUUAUCUUCCAGAAAUAUGUUAAAAUCUCUCCUUCCUUAUUGAUUCCCUCUUGUAGUUUCCUUGCCACUGAGCCUACUCUCUUUAAUCUUUUUUUACUGUCAUUUAAAUAAGGUUUUAGGAAAUAGUAGAAACAAAUGCGAGUGAGUGUGUUAUAUCUCGUCUUUGUAGCAGGUCCUGCCUAAAAUUAUUUUUAAAUAAAUCAUUUACAAAUACAAGCAUUUGAACUAUUAUUUUAUAAUAGUUUUAUUGAGAUAUAAUUCACAUACCAUACAAUUCCCCUUUUUAAACUGAAUAAGUCAAUGUACUUGAACUAUAAUAAAGAGUCAAUUAUUUGUGCCACACCUGAUGACAAAUCUCCAGAUACCACUGGUUUAAGAUACUGUUGUUGGGCUCCUCUUGAGCUGACAACAUUGAAGGGGAGAAGUGAGACAUAGGUAGAUUUUUACAAUAGGAAAUGCAAAGUAAGGUCAGAGGAGGGCACAGGAAGGAAUGUUCCAUGAAAACAUUAGUAUUUAACCAAAAUCUUGAAUGGUCAGUGGAGUGGAAAUGGACUGAGAUAGGACAAACUGACAGCCUACCAUGUGGGUGACAGGACUGUUGGUGUCAUGCUAGACACAGGGCCCUUGGUGUGGUUUAAGGACAGUGCCCCUUCCCCCACAUUUCAAGCACCCUGGUGCAACCAGGCAACCAAAAGUGUUCUGAUGAGCCCAAUCAGACUGAAGCAGAAAAUUCUAGCCCUGUUCUGGUUUGAUUGAAGUUCAGACCUUAAAUAAAAGGUAAAACUGGAGAAGUAGAUUGUGGAGGAGUUUUAAUUCUGUGCUAAGGAGUUGGGACUCUGCAGUAGGCAAUGAGAAACCUCUAGGAUUUUGUACAGAAGCUUACCAUGAACAGAGCUGGGAUUCGGAAAGAGCCUGUUGGCAGUAGUGUAAAGGAGAGAAGCAAGAGGCCAGGAGAUUGACUGGAAGACUCACGUGAUAGUGAAGCAAAAGGUAAGGAAAGGCUGAACUGGAGUGAAAGAACAGAAGGGGGCACAAAGCCAAUGCAUCCUGGGAACUUUACACAUCAGGGUGCCGGGGCUGGGGAAGGGAGGUGGAUGAAGGACACAUUAGGGUUGUCCCAGGCAAAAGAAACGGGUUAAGAUCUGACUCCACAUUUUAUUAACUGGGUGUUUGGCUCAGUCACUUCAGUUUCCUACAGCAGAAGACUACUGCUCCAGAAAUUUGGAGGUAAAAGAAAGGAAAGGGGUAGAAAGGCAAUCCAAGGGGGUUGCAGGAUUGGCCACAUUUUUAGGAUGGAAAUGAACAGAGAUUAAAGAAAAGGAUCAGGAUUAAGAUUUAAACUGCAAACUGGGUGCCAUGGUGCACACCUGUAAUCCCAGCAGCUCUGGAAGCUGAGGCAGGAGGAUCACAAGUGCCAGGCCAGCCUCUGUCACUUAGUAAGGCCCCAUCUCAAGAUAAAAAAGACUUUGAGAAUGAGAGGAACUAAUUUUUUUUCUAUUUUUAAUGAAGUAGAUAGCAUUCAAAAGUGAAAAAUUAGUCUACUAGCUGGGCAUUGGAUUCUUGUUAAUCAUUAGUCAUUGAAAGGUGGCUUGCUCAGAGCCAUGUUUGCUAAUGUUGAUUUGUGGGAUAUCGUAAGGUAUUUAUUACCAGUUUCCUAGUGACCAUUAACAUAAUAACCUCCAAUAGAAAAGGACUGUCAUAUCACCUACACCAUUUUAUAGACAUUUCAAAGUUCAGAGACUAUUCCUAAAGUAAAUGUUUGGGGACUUCUUUUUUUUUAUUUACAUAAGGUACCCCCUUUCUGUGUAGAAUAGACAGAAUUAUAUUAGUUUUUUAUCCUAAAUUAAAUUCUAUGUAAAGUGGAAAUGUUAAAAGGUUGUUGAGAUUUUCUCCCAAUUUUUUUUCUUGUUUGUAUCAUGACUCACGCACGAUACCAUAUCUAAUCACACCCAGUAGUUUGAGUCAUUUGAUUCAUUGAGCACUUCUCAAUAAUGCCACCGAGUAGUUAUUGACCAAGUCAAUUGGUUGAAUGACUGAAUAGGUCAUCAGCUCAAGAUUGUCAAUAUGUCAAAACAUGGGACUGUUUGUCCUGCAGGCCCAGCCAGCUCAGGGGUUUAGGAUGCUCAUGUUGAAAAUAGAGAAGGGUUUUGUGCAUUUACCUUGACCUACAUAAACCAGUGAUAAGCAAUGAAUUCAAGGUAACUGGGAAGGAUCUUCUACUUGCUUAUCUGGGUAGUGCUUCCCACUUAUAAGAGCUUCUGGUAUUCACUGUUCUCCACAUCAGUCCCUUGAACAAUGACAGUCAAGAAUGUUGGUCUUUUGAGUGGCACAGGGUAUUCUCUUCAUUCACACAUAUUGGAGUUUUACUGGGCCACGUACCAUUGAAAACAAAAGGAGUAGAACAAAAACAACAACAAAACUCUUAUUGCCACUUACCCCACAGUGUUUAAAGCAAAGAAAAUACUUCUACCAAUUAACCUUCCUUUGACAACACUGGAUGGUUGGAUGUCACUUGCCAGAUCAGCUUAGGGAUAUAAAUAAUGGCACUGUCCUAAACUCAGAAAGAUUAUAUUUUAGAAUAGUGAUAACCUUUGGGAAACAGCUGGCCCAAUCUACUCUUUACAGAGGACAAGACAGAGGCCCAGUGACUUGCCCCAGGGCCAUGCAGUGAGUGAGUAACAGAGUCAAAACAAGACUUGAGGUCAGUUCAUUCUGCAUUCUGAGCUCUCUGUACCAACCUACCAGAUUCCCUGGUGACCUCAGGCUAUCUAGCACCUGCCUGUCUCUACACAGAGAAGACAUCAUACUGGUAGAGAAAGGAGAUGUUCUUCUUUCCAAAACUAUUUUCCAAAUUCUUCUAACAUGUAAUUCUUCUAAUAUGUAUUGACACCAAGCCUACUGCCUUGCAAGAACUUCCCAGAUACUUAUAGAUAUAAUCUGAGGACAUCUAAAGCCAUUAUUAGAAGUGAAAUGUUUAACAAAAAUGGGCAAUUUGGGGGCUGGGGUUGUGGCUCUGCGGCAGAGUGCUUGCCUAGCAUGUGUGAGACACUGGGUUCAAUCCUUAGCACCACAUAAAAAUAAACAAAUAAAAUAAAGGUAUGCUGUCCAUCUACAACUACCAAAUUUUUUUUAAAUGGGCAAUUUCACUGGUAAUCUCUCCUGUACUUUUCCCACCAGCUAUGCUAAGUAGGCAAAAAUACAGAUGGUCAGCUCAGAGUGGUCAUGUUACUGGCAGAGAGGAGCAAGCAUACAAAUCCAGGUAUGUCAGUGUCCUACACCUUGCUCUUUCCAGGAGUUAGUAGCCUGCAUUUCAGUGUCUUUAAUGGAUGCUGAUAGUGGACUGAAAUCUGCCUGGGGCCAGAGUGAUCAAAAUGUAGUUCAAUAUAAAACAUGCUGAUGCUUUCAUCUAAUUUUUUAUCUGAGAAUGGUAACAAUUAACAUGAAUUAAGUACUUAUUGUGUGCCAAGACCUGGCUUUUUCUCAUUGAUCCAGUUAAUCUCCACAGUAACCUGUUGGAUAAAUGCCAUCAUGAUUAGUACCAUUUUUACAGGAAACUGAGGUGGGAAACGUUCAGUGACUCAUCCAAGAGCCCCCCUGCCAAUUUGGAGUGAGGAUUCGAGUCUGUGCAGUUGGGCUCCAGAGCUUUCUGGGAAACAACUCUAGGCUCUGCAGGUCUGCUGAGGGAGUGUAGGAGGGCCUCCAUUAAGAAAGUUGUGGGGAGUCCAGAAUGGAUUAUCAGAACCUUCAUGGAGGCAGAAUUAGAAAUGAACUUGAAGUUUCUAGAGUAUUGGUUUAUGAAAUAUGAAAUGACUGGAGGUUUUGAGGUAGUAUGCAAGAACCUAGAUGGGUUUGCAGAGAAAUGUCUGACUCUUGGUGACAGUGAACAAAACAACAGGGAAUGCAGAGUGAGUACUCUGGGUCUCUCUGAUUUCUUAUUAUUUAGCAUCUUUAGUUUCUAAGCAAAUAGCAUGUCUGUGUGAUUUAAUAACUUUUCUUAGCCAAUUCACAUCUUUUCCCCAAUACUAACACAUACAAGUUAUGAUAAGAUACCAUUUUCUCAAGCACCACCAGAUCCUCAACUUCUCAAAGACCUCAGCAGAUAUUCUUAACAACUAACACAGACACUUGUAUGGUUUUGGAGCAGCCAAUCAUUGUGCUUGCAACUCAGUGCUUAUAGAUUCUUUCCAAUCAUGUGACCAAAUAUCAAUCCAACUGAGAGUUUAAAAACUGUCAGAGCUCUCUUAAAAAGUGUGAUAGACAUUAUCUGUGUAUCUCAUAUGUUUAUAUUAUAUAGCUUGAAAUGGAGCUUGGAUCUGUUAAAAAAAUUCAUUUACUCAAUAAGUAUGUAUAGAAUGCCUGUGUCUAUUCCAGAGAUUGGGUUAAACUCAUAUCUCCAUUACACAUGGAACCCUUAUAUUAUUUUAUGUUUCUUUUCUUUCUGCAUUCUUGCUAUAAAUAAGCACACUAGGCAAGUUCUCAAAUUCUGCUGAUAAAUGCUGAGCUGUCCACUUGAUAAGGUUUUCACACAAAGAUCACAGGGAAAAAUCACUUCCUGCAAGGACCUCAGGGGCAUUACCCACUUUCUCUUGAUGGUUUUGGCUCCAGGGGGUCAUAUUGUCACAUCGCAUUUAACCAAUCCCAUUUUCUCAGUAGUAGUGCCCACUUUUUCCCAUUCCAUUUUUAGCUGGAAAGGAGCCUGCUAUUUUCAGCUUUGGGAUAUACACAAAAGAGCCAAAGAGAUUGAGGUCACAGAAGUCUGUCUGUCCCACUCAAUUCCAUAGGGCUGAGAGAGGUCUUGGUGGCAAGAGCCACCUCCUCUGCUUCAAAAGAUGAGACAGGUGAAAGAAGAUUUUGAGGCCUGCCUCAGCCCAGGACAGGUCAAGAUAGUGACUGCUAAACCAGUGCUUAUCCAAGAGCCUCCUCAUGGUAAACCAGAGCCACCAGUCCUGCUUGGUGGAGACCUUUUCCCAGCCUACCAUACAUCGUUGGCAAUUAGAGCUCAGGAGGUAGGUAAGGGAUCACCCCUCUCUUAGUGAUUCCCUUGCACAACAGGUUUGAGAACUUCUGUUGCAAAUCUUCAUGGAUAAAUUUAUACAUUUUUAACUUUUAAUGGACUAAAACAUUGAUUUAAGUAGUGUGGGAAAUAUUGGGGUGGAGUUUAUUAAAACUCAAGACCUUAAACUAUCAUGUUGAGUGUCAAAAAUUUACCUUGGAGUGGGUCUCUGAAUUUCUCUUUUCCUAAACUCUUCUCUCCAGCUCCCCUUUCUUUGGACAAAGGAAUGGUCCCUUAGGGCUAAAAAUUAAUAGCAGCAGCAGUAAAGACUGCAGGUUAGCUGCAGAGCAGGACUAGGCAUUAGCUCUAAGAAACUGUCCCUGAAAAGAUCAAAGCAGAAGGCAAAAUAUUUAAGUUUCUGUUGUAAACAUUUCCUCUCUAUCUAUCUAUCUAAAUCACCUAUAAUCUGUAGAGAUUAACAAAACUGGAAAAUUUGGCCCUGAAAUAAGAAUUUCCUUCUGAGUUGUUCUGAAGUUAAGCUUCUUUAUUUUUAUUUAUUUAUUUUUAUACUACUAGAGAUUGAAUCCUUUUAUUUUUUUAUUUAUUAUUUUGAGACAGGGUCUCACUAAAUGGCCCAGGUUGGCCUUGAACUUGCAAUCCUUCUGCCUCAGCCUCCCAAAUCACUGAGAUUACACGGUUGCAUCACUGCACACUCCUAAACAUCUUGAGGAGACUUACAGAUAUGGCUGCUGUUUUCCCUUUUACAAGAAGUAGGAUUUUUCCUCAGUCUCUCUCUGCCACUUCUGGGAGCUGCCUAAACAGAUUGACACUCAGUGUUCUCUUUUCUCCUCCUCCUGCCUUUUGUCCCGUAUUAGCGACCCCACCAUCAUUGGCCAGGCUUACUAGCUUACCUCUGAUCCCUACGCCCCUCCAGCUUCCUUGCCCUCCAGCUUCGUGCCAUCUGCAGGGAACAGCAGUUAAAGACAUCUAAACCCCCUGUUUAGUUCCAGUGGGAUCCUCCUGGCCAUGCCUCAACACCUUCUCUUUCUCCUCUCUGCCCACCGUGAACUCUGCAAUUUUUCUCCUGGGCCCUUUACUGUUUUCUGGGCACUAUUUUUCCCACAUAUUACUGAAAACAUUUUGCAAAGGAGCAAGAGCUUCUUUGGUGGGGCAUUACAUUAAAGAAAAGACAUUUGAUAAAGAAAUCCUUUUAAAUAAAUUUUUAAACUAUGUACAAGUUUUACUUCGACUUUGAAGAAAAAAUAUUGUUGGCUUCAUGGUAUUAUUUUGAAGUAACUAAGGUAGCUUUUAAAUUACACAAAAAUAAAGGGGAGGACUAGGUACAAUAGCACAUGCCUGUAAUCCCAGUGGCUCCAGAGGCUGAGGCAGGAGGAUUGCGAGUUCAAAGCCAGCCUCAGCAAAAGUAAGACACUAAGUAAUUCAGUGAGACCCUGUCUCUAAAUAAAAUACAAAAUAGGGCUGGGGAUGUGGCUCAGUGGUCAAGUACCCCUGAGUUCAAUUCCUGGUACCAAAAAACUAAAAAUACAAAAGGGGAGAGAUAAAUAAGAGAACAAUGUUAGAGUAGAUAUUUACCUCUCUCUGUUUUCUGGCACCAAACAGCUAAAGCACAGUCUUACCUAGUUCCCUCCUGUACUGGAAAAUACAUGUUUGUGUUAAACCAGUUAUAUACAUGUAUAAGUAUAGUAAAGUAAGAAAAUUAAGUAGAGAUUAUGCAGGAACUAAUUGAGCAUGAGCUAUUGGUUAAUAUCUGAGAGGGGAAAUAUUAGAAAGAAAAUGAAAUUAGACCAUGCAGGAAAGCUCUCUUUAAUUAAUGUUUUAACUCAUUCCCACCCAAAAAAAAACUACAUGAAAAAAAUAUUAAAAUGUAAAUAGAGAAUUUUGCCUACUAAAAAGAGAAAACAGCCCUCCAGAUGGACAGAAAGGGCAUACAGAGCCUAAACAUGGAAUACUACUCCAGAGUAAAUCAGUCCCCUUUUACUAUCCUUAUGAAGGAAAAUAGCAACACCAUUUCUGCUGAUAUGGCCAGAGUGGCCACACCAAAAAAAAAAAAAAAAAUAGUCUUAGAGACCUCAGAAUAUAUUUGAGUCAUUUAUUUUAUUUAUUUGGUACUGGGGAUUGAACCCAGGGGCACUUUACCAAUGAACUAAAUCUACAGUCCUUUUUAUCUUCUUUCUGAGACAAGGUCUUACUAAACUCCAUAGGGCCUUGCUAAGUUGCUGAGACUGGCCUCCUGAGUCACUGAAAUUACACAUGUAGCUAAGUCAUUCAUUUUAACAAGGAUAGGUGAUCUGUCCUGGAAAUUUCCCAGAUUUUAAACCAGAUCAUCAAUUAACCAGGAAAUAUUUAACAUGUUGUUGCUAUGUGUGGAACACGUAACACAGUGCCUUGGCAUGGCUAAGACUUGGCACUCUACACGUAAUUUAGAACAUUCCAUCACAUUUAUCAUCUUUUCCAAAAUGAUUUUUUUCCUCUUAGUCAUUCAAUGUCAUUCAUUUCUUGGGGGCAUCUACUCCUACAACAACAGUAGAUUUUAUGUCCAAUCUAUCAGCAGGCACUGGUUUUAAAAAGCCAUAGCACAAGACAUUUAUACAACCAGAUAGGUUGCAAAUGAGUCAGAUUCAGUAUGCCCUAGUCUUGAGCUUUCCCUUUGGUUGGUUUAUUAUUAUAGUGAAGACAUAGAGGCACAUACUAAGUGUUCAGGACUUCAAAAGUAUCAGAAUGAAAAGUAAAAGAUUUAACCCAUUAUUGUCUCUUGUACUCUAGACUGGCUUUUUCCAAAUAAUGUCCACAGGUCCCCCAAGUAUUGGGAGGACAGAGGAAGCAGACAGACCUCUACCAGUUAAUCUUAUGUGUCAUAACUUAACACCAUAACUCAGAGAAAAGAGGAAAAAGCCUUUAGUAAAUAAGAUAAAUCCUGUUAAACUAGAAUUCUUUAAUUAGACAGAGCACAUAAGACUUUCAGUGGUUUAAAUAAAAUUCCCUCUGAAUCAUUAAGAUCAAUUUAUGUGAUGCUGGGGGGUAGUUCGAUGGCAGAGUGCUUGCCUAGCAAAAGCAAGGCCUGGUUCUCAGCAACACACACACACACACACACACACACACACACACACACACACUUAUUCAUGAAGUCUGAUAAACUUUCUCAGCUUUUCCAAAUUAAGUUGUCAGGAAAACAAGACCUGCCCUCAGAGGCUGAGUCUAGCAAUUCAUUCUCAUAAAGGGGUAUAUUUACUAGUUUGUAGUUGAAGUCUACUAUGAACUAAAACAUUUUCAUUAAUCACUUAACUUUUUACUAGUGUUCAUUUCAUAUCAGAUGAUAUAGUUUUGAUUAAAUAAAGUAUGCUUUUCUUUUUAAAAGUUAUAUCAUUUGCCAGGUGCUGUGGCACAAACCUGUAAUACCAGCAGCUCAGGAAACUGAGGCAGGAGGACUGCAAAUUCAAAGCCAGCCCUCAGGGCCUUAGUGAGGCCCUAAGCCACUCACUGAGACCCUGUCGUGUCCCUGAGUUCAAUCUCUAGUACCAAAAAAAAAAUAAAACAUAAAAAUAAAAAGUAUGUUACUUAGGCCUUAAAUAAUGUCAGACUAACUGUCCACAGAGCACAUACACACAUUCUAAAAUAAUGGACUUCAACUAACCAGCAUCGUUAUAAAAGGUAGUACAAAAUAACACAGGUGUUUUAGCAUGUAUUUCAUUAAAAUCUGUCCAUGGAAAAUCUGAGAAAAAAAGAAAAUGGGUGUCUGUCCCUAAUUCCCAACUGUGAGUGUCCUUCCUUUUGGAUCUGUCUGUGUUAUUAGAUGAGAAGAGAGAGUCCAAGGUGAAAAUAACAGGGAAUAGUACCAUCAAGGAUGAAAUGACAGAAAGUUUGCCAACCACCUGCCAGGUGGGAAAAUCCUGACAGUUCAUCCACUUCCGAAAUGCCCAAGGUAUUCUUUGCACAAAGACAUACACAGAAGUUGUACAUAGAUGAUAAAUUGCCUGAGUCUCUGAUUCACAAAAUCUCUACGACCACCUAAUGCUAUUUUUUAAAAUGUAUGAAUACAUACAUCUCCAUUUUUACUUUAUAAUCUGAGCUAGAGAAAAUUUACUGCAGCAUUAUCAUCCAGGCCUCAUUACCUCAUGGUUAAUUAGUUAACAUUUGUAAAGCGCUUUGAAGAUGAAAAGCAUCAUAUAAAUGCUAAGAAUUAUUAAAUAAUAUGAGAGGAAAAUCAUAAAAUAGAUACAUUGUUAACAUUAAUUUGUAUUUUAUCUUUGCUUAUUAUCUUUCCCCUAGUAUCUGUCAUUUAGGGCUGAACUAUAUAUAAAGGCCGGGGGAGUUUCCUUGUCUAUCUCAGUUGUGACUCAGUAUUGUGCUGGCCCCAAAUUAAUACUUGCCAUAAAACAAGUUCUCAGACUGAAACAAAUUAACUGUCCACAGAGAUCCCCACUUAUACUGGUGAAAAUGUUAAAUUAGUUAAACAAUUCACUCCCCCCCACACACACACAUACAGAUAAAAGAUGUAUCAAUUCAGAAGUAAUUAACAAGCAUUUCUGUUUUGUUCAAGACAAUGCAAAAUACACUAGCAAGAUUAGCUGAAUCAUUUGGGUGAGAAACAUAUGAUUCUACUUUGCUCCCACAGUAUGGUUGCAGAUCCGGCUGCUGAAUAGGUUAGGACAGUAUAUUAUGUAGUGUUGACUGUUCCCUACAUUUUGCUGUCAUCAAAGCAAGUUAAACAAACUUUUCUGAAGCCCUGUCAUCCCGCCUCCUCCUCCCCCAAUCCUAAGUGGACAGAAGGACAGACAAGCAAACCUGCUUAAAAAAAAAAUCUUUGGCAGCUUGCCAGGGAUGAGACAGGGAAGAGAAGAAAAGGCAGUGGUAAAAUAUUCUUAAAAUAUGUUCAUGAUGAAGGCUUUCAAUGAAACAGGAAAUAACAGAUCAAGUGCAUUCAAAGUAUUUGCAAACUGUUUAAUUGGGUAAAGGCAAGUCACCCUUUUCUGAUCACAGCAACGUCUUUAUUGUGAAGCGCUCUUCAGCGAUCCUAAAGUUAAUCCCAAGUCCUGUUACAGGAAACUCAUCCUUAUUAAAGUAACAUUAAGUGCUCCUUUUUUAUUGAUCUUCCCCUUCAGCUUAAUGAUAGAAACUUACUGAUGUUUUAAUAAUAACCUCACAAGCUUUAUCUCAUUUUACUUUGCCUUGGUACUAAAAGAUGCAGUGGAAACUAACUUAGCAUAAACAUUUUGCAGAUGUCUUUAAAGGCCAGGGGGAGGUGGGGGGGAAAAGAUUCAGUUGAGCUGCGUGUUAACAAAGAUGGCUGAAAAACUAAAAGAUAAAAGGGAGGCUCCAGUGUGAACAUCAAAGAAUUGUUAAUGACAAGAAAUACCAUUAGGGUUAGCAUCUCUUUUGUUUCAACCCUUUCACACCUGCAGCGUGUGGUGAGCUAAGCCUUUGUUCCAAAAUCUGAAUUACCUCCAUUAGCACUUAUAGAAAAAAAUGGUUGCAAAACAACAGAAACGUACUUUUGGCUCUCCCCUUUGGCUUGAAAAGUCAGAAAUUAGUUAGGUAUCUGUGGAUUUCCUUCUAGUCACUGGUGUAACUAUAGAGAUUAUAGAAGGGUAAGGUAAUAGGUUGCAAAUGAGUCGGGUUGAAAUGUGAGAAUAGCUUUGUAACUCAAAAAAGAGAGGUAAUGUAAGCAAUGUGGAGAAGCACGCAUAAGAAGCUCCAACAUUAGCAAUAGCAAAAUCAGAGCGUGAAAUUCAGAUUAGCCCUCCCCAGGCUGUGAGAGGAAGGGGGUAUCACAAGACUUGGCAUGGCGAAAGGUGUAACCUGUUUUAUUUGGCCCCUGAAAAAUUUUAACAGAUGGUAGGACCAGCUGUCUUUUUCAGCCAUUUAAUAAACUCUUCGGUGGUAACAGUUUGGAAAGUGGGGGUUUUUCGUUUUAGGCCAGAGGAGAAAAUAAAGAAAUCUGUCCCAAGUUGUGUUUGCCAAGUAGUAAGGCCUGGAAACGUUAGGAAAAGUUAAAGGGGGAAGAAUCUAGUCGACUAUAUUAUCAUCGUGUCUUUUUAGAGAGCAGCAACAAAAACAAAUCCCUCCCUGCCAAAUGAGGUGACUAACUACUGGCAAAACGUGUUUUGUCUCACCAUCUUUAUCUGGGAUUUUAAUUUUGGUCUUUCAAAAAAGAUGCCUGGUUAUUUGUUUAAUGCUCAUUGACAAAGCACUGUAAGGCAGCAGUUACAAAAGGAAACAAACUAAAACUUCAUUAGAAUUUAGUACUCACAGAAGGGAAAUACUUUGUUAUAAAGAAUGAAAGGGUAAAUUCCUUCCAAUUUACAUAAUUAGUCUAAAAUGGCAUAGAACCUUCCUAAUCAUGUCCUGUAAAUUACAGAGCUCUGCUCCAGACCUCAGGGAAUGGGGGAAAUGCUCAUGUCAAGUUAUUUUCAGAAGAGGAUCUAAGAGGUUUUGCUUUUGUGCCUAAAAUGUUUCAUAAAAUUGGCAAUGUUUUCCCACCAGUAAAAUGGCAACCCUUGGUUAUGGGAGAAAGAGUUUAUUUGCAAAAAUUCUCCCCAUGGCUACAAACACAACUCUUCCUUUUGAAAAUGCCCUUGAUUCCUGGUUGAGUGACAGCCACUUUCCUUUGACAAAGCUUUGUUCUGUCCACAGGCCCAUUGUAGAUAUCAGAUCUGUAUCACUGCAAGUAAAUUACAAUACUAAUAUGUAAACUCUUUUUAAAUUAGAUUAGACCAUCUUUUUAGAGAACUAAAGCAUAUGCAGCUUUCAUUAUAUCUCGUUGAUCCCUUUUUUUUUUUUUCUUAGUUCUAGCCUCCCUCCUUUCUGGACUGUUGGUAAUGUUUUGGCUCCUUAAAAAAGUAGCAAAGAAGCCAGGCACGGUGGCGCAUGCCUGUAAUCCCAACAACUCAGAAGGAUUGUAGGUUCAAAGUCAGCCUCCGCAACCUGGGAAGGCCCUAAACAGCUUAGCAAGACCCUGUCUCAAAAUAAAAUAUAAAAAAAGGGGGGGGCUGGGGAUGGGACUCAGUGGUUCAGAACCCCGGGGUUAAAUCCCUGGUACCAGAAAAAUAAAAAUAAAAAAGAUAGCAAAGUGUAGGUGGUCAUAGAAGCAUAAGGAAUAAUUCUACCUGGAUUAAGUUAGUUCAGUCAUCAAGGCUAGUUACCAAAAUUAACAGAAUGCCAUUUCUAAUUCUUUAAUUACUAUGAUUUGUGACAUGCCUUAGACAAAUUACAGUCCUUCCUUCAGGGUAUUUUCUCCAGUCUGUAACAAGGGAACACCAUUCAUUCAACACAUCCUUAAUGAGUACCUACUCCACUCCAAGUACUGUGCCAAGCGCUGGAAUAGCAAAGGGAUAAAGACACGAGAUCCCUAUUCCUUUGGAGCUUAUAUAGCUCACAUUGUCACUGGAUAAACAUUAGAGAAAGUUUACAAACAUAAAACAUCCACAGCGGACUAUUUAAGCUCCAUCUAUGCAACUUCAAAAUUACCCACAUGAUGCAGAUGCCUUUCACAAUUAAAUCUGGGGCAGGGGGACUUCCACAUUCAAGAAUAAGGAAGCAACUUCAAAUUCAUCCUGGCAACCCUUGGCAAAGAGUUGGUUUUUUGAUGUGAAUGUUUCUUUUCCAGUCACUGGUUUCAGAGAUCACAAGCUCCUCACUAAAAUGUGAUUAUCUAGAAGUUAUAUGUAUCUAGAAAUUACAUGUAUUUUUCUCACACAUGACAAAGUACUUUACUAAAUUUGGAGAAUAAACAGUUUCGAUUAGAAAAAAUAAAGAACAUGGAGCCUGACUUUAUAGAAAGAUAAGUAUUAAAACUAUCUGAAAACUAGGUUUAUCUUGUACGUGGAAGAUAGAAACUUUCAACUUAGUCCCACCUCCAAUAUUUCAAUACCUUCAUUUCUAUAUGAAGCACUUUCAGAUUACCCGAGUCAAAUUAAAUACUGACACAAAUUCUAUCCAAUUUUCCAGAAUGUAAAAGUACAGUUCACCCUGAAUACAAGAGAGAAAUUAGAAAUUCAUGCAAAACCCAGAUGAAACUGGGCCAGGUAAUUCAUUGUUUCUCUACCGAGUAGUAGGCCACUCUUGGGGGUGGCUGGCAAUUUCACCUUCCCAGCCAAGGCCCCUGCCCAAGCAGUGACCAACUAAAUAGUUCUCAGAGAAGGGCACCAAAAGCAGAAGCCCCUAAGAAUAAAGUCAGUGACACUUAAGUACAGUUGUGGCAGAAUACUAAGUCCAAACACUUAUGCUGCUUCCUAAUGCACCCUCAUAAAAAAAUGCUAUAUUUGACUUUUUGUUGUUGUUUUACUAGACUCCCCUUAGACAGUGAACUGCAAUAUUCCUAGCAAAGACAAAACACUAGUUUAUGCUCAUGAAAAUAAGGAGUGAUGAAAUAGUAAAGACCAUAAAAAGGUGACAAAUAUUGACCUGUAACUCACCUUAGGAUUGUUGGGAAAUAUUACUUUCAGAAUUCUCCAAAUAUCCAGGAAAUUCUGAAAUAAGAGAAAUGGUAUAAGAACCCUCAUAUCAGGCAUUUUCUAAUAGAAUAAAAUAAUUUUCUUUUGAUCCAAGUGUAUUUCAUCUCUGAGCUAUAUCCCAGGCUAGCCUCUGACUUGCAAUUCUCCUACCUCAACCUCCCCAGUCACUGGAAUUAUAGGCAUGUGCCAUUACAUCCAACUAAAUUAUUUUCUUAAAUUUGUAGCACAUGAGAAAUCAAAUUAUUUCCAGUUUCAUUGCUAUAAUGAAUAUAAUUGCAAACAUUGAAAAGGAACUAUUUCUCAAUCUCAUUAAUAUCACUCAAAAGAUAUUUAUUGAAUGUUCACUAUGUGCCAGAUACCUUUCUUCUGAUGCAAAGAGCCCCAAAAUAUUACAGGGACAGGAAGAGGGGAAAAAAGAAGAAAUAAGGUGAAGGAAAAUAAAGAAGAAACUAUUUACUGGAUGUUAAAAUGUACUAUAAAAUUUAUAUAUAUAUUAUUAUCUCCAGAGUAGACAAAUAGAAAAAUAGAACAACAAAAAAGAUACAAAAUAAACAUAAGUAUAUCUAAGUUUUUCUCUUAUUUUUUAUUUUAAAUUGUAAUUUUGUCUUUUUUCAAAAUACCUUCAUUUUAUUUAUUUAUUUAUUUGGUGUUGAGUAUAAAACCCAGUGUCUCACAUGUGCUAGGCAAGCGCCCAACCACUGAGUUACACCUCCAGCCCCCAUAUCUAAGUGUUUCUUUAUGAUCCAGGUGAAAUUUCAAAUCAGUCAAGAAAUGAUUCGAAAAUUAAUUGAAUUUUUGGAAAAAAAAUUCAGUGUCAUUCUCAAGCUCUAUGAACUACCUGCUUGCAAACCCCCAAGUUUGUCUGCCAUUGGCUCACAGCAGAAGGCACAAAGUUCCCAGGUCCCAGACCACUGCAGCAGCAGUAGUAGCCAGAGAGCCAGCAUUUGCACCUUUCUUCCAAUCUCCCAUUCCCACAGGCUGAAGCUGGGGGCCAGCUGCUGCCUGCAUACAGUGCCGGGGAUACAGGCGAGGUACCCCAAGCUUAAGAAAUCUAGUCUUUUUGUAAUGGGCAGUAAGCCUGCCUGAUCUUUGCCCCAGAUGGUGGUAUUAUCUUUAUUAAUAUUGCACAACCAAAAACCUGCCCUCUGCUCUUAAGGAGACAUUGUCUCUACUUUCCAAGUCUGUUCACCACAUAAACAUCCUUGAAAAGUUAGCCGAGGAUAAUGGCAGUCUGCUCAUGAGACAUGCAGCAACAUGACACAUACAAGGAGAAUGGUCUCCCCACAGGCAUUAACUUUUGCUUGAUUUUUAAAGAAAUCUGGAUAAAGAAAGGGAUCAACAUAAAAAAAAGAAAGAAAGAAAGAAAGAAAAGAAAACAAGAAGAAAUUAUAACAAAGUAGGAGAAAAUAUAUAUGAAUGUUUCCAUACUUUUUAGGUAGGGAGACCUUUCCAAACAUAAUGUUAAAGACAACCUAAUGGAAAAAGAAUAAUGGAUUUACAAUUUUUGUAGUUUUAUGUAUCAGUUAAAAAUUACAUCUAAUUUUUAAAAGAUGGGUUUCACUACUUAUGAUUUUAAAUUGUAAUCAAAUUGCACUGGGGAAAUAAAAUUUAUUUUCCAUAUGUACUGAAUUUCUGUUUGGGAAGAUGCUAAGGAGGUGGAUGGUGGAGGUGGAUGGUGGCAAUGGUUACCAACAAUGUAAAUGUAUUGAAUGCCAAUGAAUUGUACAGCUAAAAAUGUUUAAAUGGUAAGUUUUGUUAUUAUAUUUUAAAACAUUAGAUUGUAAAUAUAAUCUGAAAAAUGACAUUUGUGGCAUAAAAACAAUGUUUUCACUUAAUCCGUCUGUAUUGACUUCUAUGAUGCACUAAGAAUACAUGAAGAUCAAGAUGUUACAGUCUUAUCUUCAUGGAGAGUAGUGAGUUCCUACAAACUAUUAAGAAAAAAGAAAAACAUCCCAAUAAAGACAGACAGCUCACACAAGUUGAUAAAUUAUGAAAAAGUGUUAGACCUCACUAAUAAUAAACUAGAAAUUAUAAAUGGAGUAUCAUUUUUUACUUUCGGAAUGGCAAUGUUUUCUUAAUCGAAGUGCUAUUUGUGAGCAUAUUAGAAAAUGGGUACUCUCAAACUCUGCUAGUAGGGAUAUACAUUGACAUCGAGUCCCUGUCUACAACUCCAGAUAUAUCAGGAGCCUUAAAAUUAUGCUUACUUUUUGCUCAGCUGUUCCCCCAAAAGGGAUAUAUCCUGAGAGACCAGUCUGAGAUAUGUACAAAAUAUUGUUCUUUGCAGCAUUGUAUGUAAUAGCAAAAACAAUCAAACAAAACCCCAUUGGAAGUCAUUUAAAUAUUCACAAGUAGGGCAUUGUAGUGUAACUAUAUAAUGGAAUACUAUCUAGUCUUAAAAUAGCUCAAAAAGGAGGAAAAAGAAGCCUGGUUAUAAAAAAAAGUACAAAAAAAAUUUUAUAGUAUACUCUUAAAAACAGUAUAAAUACUAUUUUCAAUUUUCAAACAGGCCUAUGUACCAUGAAAACUAAAAGGUUGGCAAUGUUGGUAUUCCAGCAUUGAAUAUUCAGUAGUCAUUAUUAGGUAAGAAAUAUUAAAGGGAAGAGAGUAGCUGACCCUUUUCCCUUCAUUAGAUGUAUAUUAUUUAUAUUUGAAGAAACCUAACUAUAAUUUAAUUCAUUCUUGAAUGUAGAAUACUUUUCCAUGUAAUCUUUUUAACAGUAUCUAAUCCUGUUUUAAAUCUUUCUCUUUCUUGUUAAAAGGUUCUAUGAAUGGACUUGCCACCAAUCCUCCUGAGGAAAGGCCUUACAAACUGCAUUUUUAGUCAAUGAAUAAAUUUGGCACAUCAUAAUAAUGGAUUAUUGUGUAACUGUUAGAAAUUAAGAUUUCGUUAACUAUGUAAAACCAGGGAGAAAUCUUUAUGGUAAAAGAAUAUAAAAGGCUGUGCGUGAUGUACACUCUGGUUUCCAUAGUUCAAGGACAGGUGUGGAGCAUAGCAGGUAAUGGAUAGACUUCCCACGGCGAGAAGAUGGAUUCCAACUCUUCUGUUUUCAUUGGAACUUCUGAAAAUUACAAAAAACAAGGGCUGUGUGAGACUUGAGAGUGGACUGAUGUAAGAGAGAAGCAAGAAGAUUUAGACCAGAAUAUGUGGGGGCCUGUGCCUUUGUAGGGUCACCACCUACCCACAGUGCAGCCUCAGCCUGGCACGCUUCAGGACUCAAUUUCUUCAGACUAUCAUGUGAUAUUCUGGCUCUGGAUGAUUGAUCAGUGCAAUCUAAAAGUUUUCAUCAUGUUUUAAGUCAAGAUCUUUUUCUUCCUGUGAAGUGUGAGGAAAGCCCGGGAGAAAGUCUGUGAAACAGUUCUGCAGGGCGGAGCUGCUCCCAUGGAUUCUUCAACCCCUGAUCCCUGAGACACCUCUGCUGCCCUCCUGAGUUUUUAGGAGAGCUGAAACCUCUCUUUCUAAUCUUUCAGAUGAUGAAUGAAUAAAACAGAAAGGGAAUUUAUUGUCAGUAGGAAAAUCUAACCACACUCCAAGUUAGGAUGAGUGCUUGGAGAGGCUGAAGUCCAUGAGGUAGAGGAGCCAUAGGAAGGUUCUCAAGUGCUGGCUGGGAGGCUCUGCAUUACAGCCACCCAGGCCAUGCAUGGAAAUGUUGAGUCCCAAGCCUUUAGCCAUGAUGACUGAUCAGUGUUCAAGGUGGGUGCAGGCCUCUGCACUCUCAAGGGGCCCUGUCUGAAGUGAGCCAGUGUGCAGUUAGGAUAACUGGGCAUCAUCUCCAUUGGCGGCUCUCUGCUCAGGGGAGUUUUCCUGAAGACAGAGAAAACCCUGCCUCAGUCAGGCCAGCUGAGCCUCAUCUGCCCAUGACUGACAAAUACUCCAUCCUUCAAAAUUCUUGCCCAUUCUCUACCUCCAUCACCACAAUCUUCAGACCUUACAACAGUGUCUUAGGAAAAGCAAAACACCACUAAUUAGAAUCCUGUUCAUCUUAGUUAGUCUUAUCAGUCACAUUUGCAGAUCAUUUCUUAUGGCAGUUUGAGAAACUUCCAAAGAUAUACAACCAUUUCAUAAAUAUUUAUAUUUUAAUUUCAGAGGAACUUACUUUCUUAUUAUGUUCCCAAUUUUGCCUAUAUGCUCUACUUGAGUUCUGAAAAAUCUCUAUAUAUUAAUAAAAAUCAAUAAAGUCAAAAUUGAACUGCUCCUGGGCGUGGUGACACAUGCUUGUAGUCCCAGCAGCUUGGGAGGAUCACAAGUUCAAAGUCAGCCUCAGCAAUGGAAGGUGCUAAGCAACUCAGUGAGAACCUGUCUCUAAAUAAAAUACAAAAUAGGGCUGGGGAUAUGGCUCACUGGUCAAAUUCCCCUGAGUUCAAUCCCUAGUACUCCCCCCCCACCAAAAAAAAAGAGAUUGAAUUCCUAAUAGAAAACAAGAAUAAAAUACUUCAAAAUUCCUUUCUUUUCUGGUAUUCUCUUUUCUUUAACUCACAUCAAAAGUUCUAAGGAAAGGUAAUGACCAUGGUACUGAUUUUUUAUUUUGCUUCUGACGGUUAAAUUCAGGGCCUAAAAUUUUGCAUUAAUUACAUUAUUCUUUUGAUAAUAAAAGAGAUGCGGCUGAUUCUUUGAAACAGUUGUGGCCAGAUGGAAAUAUAAUGCCAAUAUGACAGUAUCUAUGAAAGUCGUUGGAUUGACUGCUCUGGGGACCAGAACUUGAGAUUUCUCUGCAGAACAGAACAUAAGCAAAUGAAGGUUUUAGCUGUGGUUGCCCACACUCUGUCACUGAGCCUCAGCCCUGUCCUGCUGGGGCCACCAGCACCAGGUGGAAGAGCAAUUUGGUCUCCUCUCGACUUAAUCCGCUCCUGUCUGUUGAGACCUCACCGAGGUGCCAACUGUAAGGAUGGCUCUGGGUUUCAAACACCUGUCCACUAGGAGCUGGACUUCUACCCCCAACUUCCUUUCAAGCAGCCACAAGGCAGACAUCAGAUGGUGGCAACUUCUGGUCCCUCCUGAGAGGAUUGGUUCCAUGGUGUCCCACGGCUCCUUGCUACAGUUUCACCAUUUUCUGGGUAUUUAUUCGAGUGUGUAAUUUUGAAUGUAGACUAAAAGCGCGAGCGAAAUCUUCUUUGGAAAGCCAUACAGAAUCAUAUGGACAACAGGGCUGCGCUUUCCUUCUGUCUGAUUCCCACAGCCAUCCUUUAACCUCUUGUAUUUGGGUGGGUUUUUUCUUUAAUUUGAUUAAUAUUAAUUCUGUGCAUCAUCCUAAAUAUUUAUGAACUAUUUUAAUCCUCAUAACCGUAGAAAGUAAGUACUGUGAUUACACAUAUCUUAGAGAUGAAAAAAUGAGGCAUGGGGAGGUUAAGUGUCCAAAGUCACAAAGUAAUAAGUGGAGCAGCUGGGAGCCAGGCAUUCUGACCCCAAAAUCUGGGCGGAAGGUAUUCUUUUCCACAUUUUCCAGAUAAAUACUCCAAGGGGCGAGAAAGUACUUGGUCUACCACUUCACACUCUUGUCUCUUCUAAUUGUGAGUCCUAAUUUAUUCGCUUUUACAGACUUCAGGAUGACAUGUUGCUGCCCUUGUUUGCAUCCUCCCAGCCUGUGGUGUCUUACUCAGAUGGAGCUGAGCAAGCUCCUGAGGAAACUAAGGGCCUUGCAACUCCCAGCAGGAGCAAGUCAGGGACUGACCCCGGGCUCCACCUUCUGCAGAGGCUUCCUGAAUAAGCAGCAGAUCAGGACCUCCCCAGGGACUUACCAGGCUUUAAAUCCUUUCCUGCUACUCACACUAACAGGACUCUGGUUCAUUCAUUUGUUCAACAUAUAUUUAAUGAAGACUGAAAAGUACCAUGCUAGGUACCAGAGAUGCAGCAGCAAGCAAGACACCAAGCCCCUGCCUUUAAGGAGCUCUCAAGUAUAAACAGAUGGAGGCAAACAUAUAAAAAGGCAAUUCCAAUGUCCAGGAGAACUGGCAUAACAGUAAUGGGCAUAAUGGGCAACCUAGCGUGUUGAGGAGCAUAGGGAAGGGGCAAAACCAGUAGAAGGUUUUCAUCCUUAGACCUUAGCACCAUAGUAAGACAUCAACACAAGUUCAUGUAGGCUUAUGUGUAGGAUCUGAGACAUCCAUUGUAAUAGUCAUUGAGGAGUUUUAAGCCAAGAAUUGGCAAUAUCCAGUGUGAUAAUAAGCACCAAUUUAUUGAGCUGUGUAUUAAUCCUCUACAUAUCUUAUGCAUUCGUUACAUAAUACAUGUUAAAACACUGUGAGGUUGGUGUCACUGCCCCAUUUUAUAGAUGAGAUACUAAGGCAUAGUAAGGUUAAGCCAUUAAGUGGCAGGGCCAGGAUUUGAAUCCAGGCAGCCUGACUCUGGCAUCUGUGUUCUUAUGCAUUCUGAUACACAACCAACCUUGUCACAAAGAGGAUUUAAUAAAUAGUUGAGACAUUUGGUAGCCACUUUUUUAUUUUCCCCUAGUCCAAGGGUUGCUAGCCUUGAUUCUCAUGGGAGUCACCUAGGAAGCUUUUAUAAAAGUGAAAUAAAUGAAAAAAUACACACACACACACACACACUCAUACAAAGUACAAAUAUUUACAGAGACCUAAUUUAUAAUAACCCCAAACUGGAAAUAAUCAAAAAGUCCUUUAUUGGGUGAAUCAAUAAAUAAUGGUGUGUCCAUACAAUGGAAUGCUAAGCAGCAAUAAAAAGGAGCAACUGAUACACACAACAAUUUGAAUGGCUCUCAAGGGGAUUAUUUUGAGUGGGGAAAAAAAAAAGCCAGUGUCAAAAGGUUACAUACUAUACAAUUUCAUUUCCAUAACAUUCUCAAAAUGAUAAAAUUGGAGAGAUGAACAGAUUAAUGAUUGCUAGGGGUUGGUGAUAGAAUGUGAAGUGUAGAUUUGACUAUAAAGGGGUAAUAGGAAGGAGUCUUGCAAUAAAGCAAUAUUUCUGUGUCUUUAUUUCAGCAGUGGUUACAAAAAUCUACACAUGUGAUAAAAUGACCUAGACUAUACACAUAUAUUAUAUUAAUGUCAAUUUCCUGAUUUUGAUAUUCAACUAUAGUUAGAUGUGAUCAUUGGGGGACGCUGGAUGAAGGGUACGUGGGACAUGUCUGUAUUUUAUAACUUCCUGUAUAUCUGUAAUUACUUUAAUGUAAGAGGUUGUUUUUGUGUUUGUGGUGCUGGGGAUCAAACCUGGGGUCUUUGCAUAUUAAACUUACACUCUACCAUGAAGGAAACCUCCCAGACUUUCAAUGUAACAGUUUUAAAAGAAAAGAAAAAAAAAGCAGUGCCUAGGCCUCACAGAUUGUGAUUUUCUUAGUAUAAACGAGGCCUGGAUUAUUGAUAUGUUUGAAAUCUCCUCAGUGAUUUUCACCUGCAGCCAGAUCUAAGCACCUCUGAGCUAGUGCCCAGAAUCCCUAGGGUUGGAGGCACUCUUGGAGAGCCCUAGCUGCCAACUGGCAGAGGACAGGUCCCUGAGAAGCCAG
This 29461-nucleotide long non-coding RNA is filed under the name Marmota monax (woodchuck). The record is from RNAcentral. Lineage: Eukaryota; Metazoa; Chordata; Mammalia; Rodentia; Sciuridae.